RNAcentral lists this long non-coding RNA (654 nucleotides) under Carassius auratus (goldfish). RNAcentral describes it as "lncRNA (ENSCARG00000012857.1)". Lineage: Eukaryota; Metazoa; Chordata; Actinopteri; Cypriniformes; Cyprinidae. The record is from RNAcentral.
AUGGGGUUGACACUUUUUAACAAGUUUUGGCCGUAUUUUCAUUUAUUUGUAUUUUCAAAUUACAGCAUUAAGCGCACUACAGACUCCACUGCACAAUAUUUGACGAUCUAUUCAGGGCACGACCUGCAUUUUUCUCUGUAGCUGAACGCCUGGUUUUGGGUUUUCUCUAACCAGCAGUUCUCCUGAGUUGUUCUUCCCACCCAUCAACCCCAACCCACCCUUCCACUUUCCCUCUCCUCCCCAACCCCCCAUCCACCAUAAAAAAAAAAAAAAAAAAAAAAAAAUCUUUAUUUUAAUACCAAAUUGAUAAUUUGUGUUCAGAUACUACUGUUCUAUUAAAAGUUCUUUCCUUUUAAUAGUUGGUUAAUAAUUUGUGUUUAAUCUGCUAUUGUCCUUUUCUUUGGAAAAAAGUUUGUUACUAGAUUCAUUAUUUGUUUUAUUUGUUACUGUUCUUUUUAUUUAAAAAAAAGUUUAUUAGCUCUGUUUGCAAUUCAUUCUUGUCAAUUAACUAACUUGUUUUUUUUCUUGAGAAUACUUUGCAGGUUGGAUCGCUGCAGCAUUUUGUGAAGUAAGUGACUGAAAAUAUCCUGUAAAAAAUUAUUGAAUACAGUACUUUCUGUAGCAUUAAAACCAUUUUAUAGUCAUUUUUAAUCA